This 460-nucleotide ribosomal RNA is filed under the name uncultured bacterium. RNAcentral's name for it is "partial 16S ribosomal RNA". It matches the Rfam family "Bacterial small subunit ribosomal RNA", at positions 338 to 795 of the family's 1533-position model. The record is from RNAcentral.
CCUACGGGAGGCAGCAGUGAGGAAUAUUGGUCAAUGGACGAGAGUCUGAACCAGCCAAGUAGCGUGAAGGAUGACUGCCCUAUGGGUUGUAAACUUCUUUUAUAUGGGAAUAAAAUGUUCCACGUGUGGGAUUUUGUAUGUACCAUAUGAAUAAGGAUUGGCUAACUCCGUGCCAGCAGCCGCGGUAAUACGGAGGAUCCGAGCGUUAUCCGGAUUUAUUGGGUUUAAAGGGAGCGUAGGUGGAUUGUUAAGUCAGUUGUGAAAGUUUGCGGCUCAACCGUAAAAUUGCAGUUGAAACUGGCAGUCUUGAGUACAGUAGAGGUAGGCGGAAUUCGUGGUGUAGCGGUGAAAUGCUUAGAUAUCACGAAGAACUCCGAUUGCGAAGGCAGUUCACUGGACUGCAACUGACACUGAGGCUCGAAAGUGUGGGUAUCAAACAGGAUUAGAUACCCUUGUAGUC